GAGCUUUAAAGGCAUGAUAUUCAUUCCCAUACUAAGGUCCCAUACUAAAAGCUUAACAUUUGUAGCCAUAUGACUUGACCUUUCUCUUUUACGUUAUGUUUAUUUUGUUAGGUAUCUUCAUAUCACAUAGCACAUCUAUAUACUCCUUCAUUUCAGUCAUCCUAUUUUAAUUUUGUGUGUUACGUCUUCACUACUAAGCCUAGUUAUCUUAGUUGUCUAUAUUUAAGUGUCACACCCUCACCUAAUUCACUUCACUCUUACUAAGCCUAGUUAUCUUAGUUGUCUAUAGUUAAGUGUCACACCCUCACCUAAUUCACUUCACUCUUUCUGUUUAUCAGGGUUCAACUUGCAGUGUGCAUAUUCUUCUUACUUAGUCAUAAAAAAAUCUUUAUUUCUAGGGUGACCUUUUUCACAGUUUCAAUUUUUGAUUGACUCCUUCACUAGCUUCAUCAAUUAACACAGUACUGUCAGCAC
Molecule: long non-coding RNA, 474 nt
Filed under: Solanum tuberosum (potato)
Lineage: Eukaryota; Viridiplantae; Streptophyta; Magnoliopsida; Solanales; Solanaceae
Description: long non-coding RNA (STUB_LNC010896)
Source: RNAcentral